CCAGCAGCCGCGGUAAUUCCAGCUCCAAUAGCAUAUAUUAAAAUUGCUGCAGUUAAAAAGCUCGUAGUUGGACUUCUGUGGAAUUCUUGGACGGCAUUCUGUGUUUGUUCCAGGCUUUUCACAUCCUUCUGUUAACCUGUGCUUCCUUCACCGGAUAAACAGGGGCUCAGAUACUUUACCUUGAGAAAAUUAGAGUGUUUCAGGCAAGCUUUCGCUUGAAUUCAUUAGCAUGGAAUAUUUAAGGACUCCCGCAGUUCAGUGGUCUCGUGUGGAGUAAUGAUUAAUAGGGAUAGUUGGGGGCAUUGGUACUUAAUUGUCAGAGGUGAAAUUCUUUGAUUUGUUAAAGACUAACUAGUGCGAAAGCAUUUGC
This 370-nucleotide ribosomal RNA is filed under the name uncultured eukaryote. RNAcentral's name for it is "SSU rRNA". It matches the Rfam family "Eukaryotic small subunit ribosomal RNA", at positions 567 to 958 of the family's 1831-position model. The record is from RNAcentral.